Molecule: ribosomal RNA, 449 nt
Filed under: uncultured bacterium
Lineage: Bacteria
Description: partial 16S ribosomal RNA
Rfam family: Bacterial small subunit ribosomal RNA
Source: RNAcentral
AACGAACGCUGGCGGCAUGCCUAACACAUGCAAGUCGAACGAGAUCUUCGGGUCUAGUGGCGCACGGGUGCGUAACGCGUGGGAAUCUGCCCUUUGGUUCGGAAUAACAGUUGGAAACGACUGCUAAUACCGGAUGAUGACGAAAGUCCAAAGAUUUCCCGCCAGAGGAUGAGCCCGCGUAGGAUUAGCUAGUUGGUGUGGUAAAGGCGCACCAAGGCGACGAUCCUUAGCUGGUCUGAGAGGAUGAUCAGCCACACUGGGACUGAGACACGGCCCAGACUCCUACGGGAGGCAGCAGUGGGGAAUAUUGGACAAUGGGCGAAAGCCUGAUCCAGCAAUGCCGCGUGAGUGAUGAAGGCCUUAGGGUUGUAAAGCUCUUCUACCCGGGAUGAUAAUGACAGUACCGGGAGAAUAAGCUCCGGCUAACUCCGUGCCAGCAGCCGCCGUAA